CCUACGGGAGACAGCAGUGAGGAAUAUUGGUCAAUGGACGAGAGUCUGAACCAGCCAAGUAGCGUGAAGGAUGACUGCCCUAUGGGUUGUAAACUUCUUUUAUAUGGGAAUAAAAUGUUCCACGUGUGGGUUUUUGUAUGUACCUUAUGAAUAAGGAUCGGCUAACUCCGUGCCAGCAGCCGCGGUAAUACGGAGGAUCCGAGCGUUAUCCGGAUUUAUUGGGUUUAAAGGGAGCGUAGGUGGAUUGUUAAGUCAGUUGUGAAAGUUUGCGGCUCAACCGUAAAAUUGCAGUUGAAACUGGCAGUAGUGAGUACAGUAGAGGUAGGCGGAAUUCGUGGUGUAGCGGUGAAAUGCUUAGAUAGCACGAAGAACUCCGAUUGCGAAGGCAGCUCACUGGACUGCGACUGACACUGAGGCUCGAAAGUGUGGGUAUCAAACAGGAUUAGAUACCCCGGUAGUC
This 460-nucleotide ribosomal RNA is filed under the name uncultured bacterium. Its description in RNAcentral is "partial 16S ribosomal RNA". It matches the Rfam family "Bacterial small subunit ribosomal RNA", at positions 338 to 795 of the family's 1533-position model. The record is from RNAcentral.